AGUAGGGAAUAUUGCUCAAUGGGGGAAACCCUGAAGCAGCAACGCCGCGUGGAGGAUGACACUUUUCGGAGCGUAAACUCCUUUUGUUAGGGAAGAACAAUGACGGUACCUAACGAAUAAGCACCGGCUAACUCCGUGCCAGCAGCCGCGGUAAUACGGAGGGUGCAAGCGUUACUCGGAAUCACUGGGCGUAAAGGACGCGUAGGCGGAUUAUCAAGUCUCUUGUGAAAUCCUAUGGCUUAACCAUAGAACUGCUUGGGAAACUGAUAAUCUAGAGUGAGGGAGAGGCAGAUGGAAUUGGUGGUGUAGGGGUAAAAUCCGUAGAGAUCACCAGGAAUACCCAUUGCGAAGGCGAUCUGCUGGAACUCAACUGACGCUAAUGCGUGAAAGCGUGGGGAGCAAACAGGAUUA
RNAcentral lists this ribosomal RNA (411 nucleotides) under Acinetobacter baumannii. RNAcentral's name for it is "partial 16S ribosomal RNA". It matches the Rfam family "Bacterial small subunit ribosomal RNA", at positions 353 to 780 of the family's 1533-position model. Lineage: Bacteria; Pseudomonadati; Pseudomonadota; Gammaproteobacteria; Moraxellales; Moraxellaceae. RNAcentral also lists the same sequence under 1 other name. The record is from RNAcentral.